RNAcentral lists this ribosomal RNA (325 nucleotides) under uncultured eukaryote. RNAcentral's name for it is "partial 18S ribosomal RNA". It matches the Rfam family "Eukaryotic small subunit ribosomal RNA", at positions 1470 to 1796 of the family's 1831-position model. The record is from RNAcentral.
CCCUUAGAUGUUCUGGGCCGCACGCGCGCUACACUGAUGCAUUCAACGAGCCUAUCCUUGACCGACAGGUCCGGGUAAUCUUUGAAUCUGCAUCGUGACGGGGAUAGAUUAUUGCAAUUAUUAAUCUUCAACGAGGAAUGCCUAGUAGGCGCCAGUCAUCAGCUUGCGUCGAUUACGUCCCUGCCCUUUGUACACACCGCCCGUCGCUCCUACCGAUUGGGUGUGCUGGUGAAAUGUUCGGAUCGGCCGUUUGUCGCGGUUUCCGCGUCAUGUGGCUGAGAAGUUCAUUAAACCCUCCCACCUAGAGGAAGGAGAAGUCGUAACA